RNAcentral lists this ribosomal RNA (661 nucleotides) under uncultured Alphaproteobacteria bacterium. RNAcentral describes it as "bacterial SSU rRNA". It matches the Rfam family "Bacterial small subunit ribosomal RNA", at positions 61 to 770 of the family's 1533-position model. The record is from RNAcentral. Lineage: Bacteria; Pseudomonadati; Pseudomonadota; Alphaproteobacteria.
GUCGAACGCUCCGCAAGGGGAGUGGCGCACGGGUGAGUAACGCGUGGGAACCUGCCCUGGGGUGGGGGAUAACCGAUGGAAACGUCGGCUAAUACCGCAUACGUCCUGAGGGAGAAAGAUUUAUCGCCCUGGGAGGGGCCCGCGUCGGAUUAGCUAGUUGGUGGGGUAACGGCCUACCAAGGCGAUGAUCCGUAGCUGGUCUGAGAGGAUGAUCAGCCACACUGGGACUGAGACACGGCCCAGACUCCUACGGGAGGCAGCAGUGGGGAAUAUUGGACAAUGGGCGCAAGCCUGAUCCAGCAAUGCCGCGUGAGUGAUGAAGGCCUUAGGGUUGUAAAGCUCUUUCGGCGGGGACGAUGAUGACGGUACCCGCAGAAGAAGCCCCGGCUAACUUCGUGCCAGCAGCCGCGGUAAUACGAAGGGGGCAAGCGUUGUUCGGAAUUACUGGGCGUAAAGGGCGCGCAGGCGGCCUCUCAAGUCAGAUGUGAAAGCCCCGGGCUCAACCUGGGAAUAGCAUUUGGGACUGUGAGGCUAGAGAUCGGGAGAGGAGAGUGGAAUUCCCAGUGUAGAGGUGAAAUUCGUAGAUAUUGGGAAGAACACCAGUGGCGAAGGCGGCUCUCUGGACCGAUACUGACGCUGAGGCGCGAAAGCGUGGGGAGCA